This 1390-nucleotide long non-coding RNA is filed under the name Zonotrichia albicollis (white-throated sparrow). Its description in RNAcentral is "lncRNA (ENSZALG00000001861.1)". The record is from RNAcentral. Lineage: Eukaryota; Metazoa; Chordata; Aves; Passeriformes; Passerellidae.
GGACCCAGGGGAGAUCACAGGUGGAUCCAGGAGGGAUCACAGGCGGAUCCAGAGGGGAGCACAGGUGGAUCCAGGAGGAAUCACAGGUGGAUCUAGGAGGGAUCACAGGUGGAUCCAGGAGGGAUCACAGGUGGAUCCAGGGCAGGGAUCACAGGUGGAUCCAGAGGGAUCACAGGUGGAUCCAGAGGGGAUCACAGGUGGAUCCAGGGGAGAUCACAGGUGGAUCCAGGGCAGGGAUCACAGGUGGAUCCAGAGGGAAUCACAGGUGGAUCCAGGGCAGGGAUCACAGGUGGAUCCAGGAGGGAUCACAGGCGGAUCCAGGAGGAAUCACAGGUGGAUCCAGAGGGGAUCACAGGUGGAUCCAGGAGGGAUCACAGGUGGAUCCAGGGGGGAUCACAGGUGGAUCCAGGAGGAAUCACAGGUGGAUCCAGGGCAGGGAUCACAGGUGGAUCCAGGAGGAAUCACAGGUGGAUCCCGAGGGGAUCACAGGUGGAUCCAGGAGGGAUCACAGGUGGAUCCAGGGGGGAUCACAGGUGGAUCCAGGAGGAAUCACAGGUGGAUCCAGGGCAGGCAUCACAGGUGGAUCCAGGAGGGAUCACAGGUGGAUCCAGGGGAGAUCACAGGUGGAUCCAGGGCAGGGAUCACAGGUGGAUCCAGGGCAGGAAUCACAGGUGGAUCCAGGAGGGAUCACAGGUGGAUCCAGAGGGGAUCACAGGUGGAUCCAGGAGGGAUCACAGGCGGAUCCAGGGCAGGGAUCACAGGCGGAUCCAGGGCAGGGAUCACAGGUGGAUCCAGGGCAGGGAUCACAGGUGGAUCCAGGAGGAAUCACAGGUGGAUCCAGGGCAGGGAUCACAGGUGGAUCCAGAGGGGAUCACAGGUGGAUCCAGGAGGGAUCACAGGUGGAUCCAGGGCAGGGAUCACAGGUGGAUCCAGAGGGGAUCACAGGUGGAUCCAGUGGGGGAUCACAGGUGGAUCCAGAGGGGAUCACAGGCGGAUCCAGGGCAGGGAUCACAGGUGGAUCCAGGGGGGAUCACAGGUGGAUCCAGCACAGGGAUCACAGGUGGAUCCAGAGGGGAUCACAGGCGGAUCCAGAGGGGAUCACAGGAGGAUCCAGGGGGUAUCACAGGUGGAUCCAGAGGGAAUCACAGGUGGAUCCAGGGCAGGAAUCACAGGUGGAUCCAGAGGGGAUCACAGGUGGAUCCAGGGGAGAUCGCAGGUGGAUCCAGGGCAGGGAUCACAGGUGGAUCCAGGGCAGGGAUCACAGGUGGAUCCAGGGGGGGUCACAGGUGGAUCCAGAGGGGAUCACAGGUGGAUUCAGCUGGGGAUCACUCCAGCAGGUGCCUGCAGCUCCAAACCCACCCCUGCCAGGGCUGGAGAGCUCAUUCCCAGC